Molecule: ribosomal RNA, 103 nt
Filed under: uncultured Bacteroidota bacterium
Lineage: Bacteria; Pseudomonadati; Bacteroidota
Description: uncultured Bacteroidetes bacterium partial 16S ribosomal RNA
Source: RNAcentral
GGAAGGAAGCAUUCUGAUCCAGCCAUGCCGCGGUGCAGGAAGACGGUCCUAUGGAUUGUAAACUGCUUUUAUACAGGAAGAAAAAGAGAGAUUCGUUCUUUUA